UACGAAGGGGGCUAGCGUUGUUCGGAAUUACUGGGCGUAAAGCGCACGUAGGCGGAUCGAUCAGUCAGGGGUGAAAUCCCAGGGCUCAACCCUGGAACUGCCUUUGAUACUGUCGAUCUGGAGUAUGGAAGAGGCGAGUGGAAUUCCGAGUGUAGAGGUGAAAUUCGUAGAUAUUCGGAGGAACACCAGUGGCGAAGGCGGCUCACUGGUCCAUUACUGACGCUGAGGUGCGAAAGCGUGGGGAGCAAACAGG
This 253-nucleotide ribosomal RNA is filed under the name uncultured bacterium. Its description in RNAcentral is "partial 16S ribosomal RNA". It matches the Rfam family "Bacterial small subunit ribosomal RNA", at positions 524 to 776 of the family's 1533-position model. The record is from RNAcentral.